AACGAACACUGGCGGCGUGGAUUAGGCAUGCAAGUCGAACGAGAAAGUUCUCUUCGGAGAGCGAGUACAGUGGCGAACGGGUGAGUAACGGGUGGAAAACCUGCCCUUCAAUGGGGGAUAACGGUUCUAACGAGCCGCUAAUACCGCAUACGACCUUUGGAUCGCAUGGUCCGAAGGUGAAAGGUGGCCUCUCUUUGAAGCUGCCGUUGAAGGAUGGUUCCGCCUCCCAUUAGCUUGUUGGUGGGGUAAUGGCCUACCAAGGCGACGAUGGGUAGCCGGCCUGAGAGGGUGUCCGGCCACACUGGGACUGAGAUACGGCCCAGACUCCUACGGGAGGCAGCAGUCGAGAAGCUUCCGCAAUGGGCGAAAGCCUGACGGAGCGACGCCGCGUGAGUGAAGAAGGCCCUAUGGGUUGUAAAACUCUGUCAGAUUGGGAAGAACGUACUGCGGUUAAUACCCGCGGUGCUUGACGGUACCAUCAGAGGAAGCACCGGCUAACUCCGUGCCAGCAGCCGACGG
Molecule: ribosomal RNA, 519 nt
Filed under: uncultured bacterium
Lineage: Bacteria
Description: bacterial SSU rRNA
Rfam family: Bacterial small subunit ribosomal RNA
Source: RNAcentral